AGAAUCAACGCUGGCGGCGUGCCUAACACAUGCAAGUCGAACGAGAAAGUGGAGCAAUCCAUGAGUAAAGUGGCGACCGGGUGAGUAACACGUGACUAACCUACCUUCGAGUGGGGGAUAACCUCGGGAAACCGAGGCUAAUACCGCAUAACAUCGCAAGAUCAAAGCAGCAAUGCGCUGGAAGAGGGGGUCGCGGCUGAUUAGCUAGUUGGCGGGGUAACGGCCCACCAAGGCGAAGAUCGGUAGCCGGCCUGAGAGGGCGCACGGCCACACUGGAACUGAAACACGGUCCAGACUCCUACGGGAGGCGGCAGUGGGGAAUUUGCGCAAUGGGGGAAACCCUGACGCAGCAACGCCGCGUGGAGGAUGAAGCCCCUUGGGGCGUAAACUCCUUUCGACCAAGACGAUAAUGACGGUACUGGUGGAAGAAGCACCGGCUAACUCUGCGCCAGCAGCCGC
Molecule: ribosomal RNA, 459 nt
Filed under: uncultured bacterium
Lineage: Bacteria
Description: SSU rRNA
Rfam family: Bacterial small subunit ribosomal RNA
Source: RNAcentral